This 305-nucleotide ribosomal RNA is filed under the name uncultured bacterium. RNAcentral describes it as "bacterial SSU rRNA". It matches the Rfam family "Bacterial small subunit ribosomal RNA", at positions 333 to 655 of the family's 1533-position model. The record is from RNAcentral.
CUGGUCCUACGGGAAGCAGCAGAGGGGAAUAUUGCACAAUGGGGGAAACCCUGAUGCAGCGACGCCGCGUGAGUGAAGAAGUAUUUCGGUAUGUAAAGCUCUAUCAGCAGGGAAGAAAAUGACGGUACCUGAUUAAGAAGCCCCGGCUAACUACGUGCCAGCAGCCGCGGUAAUACGUAGGGGGCAAGCGUUAUCCGGAUUUACUGGGCGUAAAGGGAGCGUAGACGGCAGCGCAAGUCUGAAGUGAAAUGCCGGGGCUUAACCCCGGAACUGCUUUGGACACUGAGCAGCUAGAGUGCAGGAGG